Molecule: RNA transcript, 4149 nt
Organism: Gigantopelta aegis
Lineage: Eukaryota; Metazoa; Mollusca; Gastropoda; Neomphalida; Peltospiridae
Gene name: glucose-6-phosphate isomerase-like
Exons: 18
Source: RefSeq, a predicted model, not a curated record
UCAAAGUCAUCUCACAAAGUCGACGUCAGGACAUGGCUGAUUUACAACGAAAACUUUUAACGCAAACGCCGGAAUGGCAAGCGUUGCAAGAAUAUUAUAACAAGAAUGGGACAUCUAUUAAUAUGCCUCAAAUGUUCAAGGAUGAUCCAAAGCGUUUUGACAAAUAUAGUAAAACACUGAAGUACAAGGAUGGCAGUAUGCUGUUUGACUUUUCAAAAAACCUGAUAAAUGAUGAUGUGAUGAGACUGCUGUUUAAUGUGGCAAAGGAACGACAAGUGGAGAAGAUGAGAGAUGCUAUGUUUACUGGAGAAAAAAUAAAUUUCACUGAAAUGCGAUCUGUGCUACACAUUGCCCUGCGCAAUCGAUCAAAUACACCAAUCAAGGUGGACGGCAAUGAUGUUAUGCCAGGUGUUAACAAAGUUCUCCAACACAUGCGCGAGUUUACAGAGUCAGUUCGGACUGGUGCUUGGAAAGGCUAUAGUGGCAAAGCCAUCACAGAUAUUAUCAACAUUGGCAUUGGAGGAUCUGAUCUGGGACCAGUAAUGGUGACAGAAGCUCUGCGCCCAUUUAAGUGUGGUCCAACUGCUCACUUCAUUUCCAAUAUUGAUGGAACCCAUUUGGCCGAAAUCCUGAAGAAACUGAAUCCUGAAACCAGUCUGUUUAUUAUAGCAUCAAAGACGUUCACAACUCAGGAAACGAUAACAAAUGCUACAUCAGCAAAGACUUGGUUUCUUGAUCAUGCCAAAGAUCCAAAAGCAGUAGCUAAGCAUUUUGUUGCCCUGUCAACCAAUACUGCUAAAGUUAAGGAUUUUGGCAUUGAUGAGAAAAACAUGUUUGAAUUCUGGGAUUGGGUUGGUGGAAGGUACUCACUUUGGUCUGCCAUUGGAAUGUCUAUUGCUCUUAACAUCGGCAUGGACAAUUUUGAAAGUCUUUUAGAGGGAGCUCACUUCAUGGACAAACACUUCUCCACAGCACCACUGACUGAAAAUAUUCCCAUCAUAUUGGCUAUGCUUGGUGUGUGGUAUCACAACUUUUACAAAGCAGAAUCCUUUUCCAUUUUACCAUACGACCAGUACAUGCACAGAUUUGCAGCCUACUUCCAGCAGGGAGAUAUGGAAAGCAAUGGAAAGUAUGUCACUCGCAGUGGUCAAAGGGUUAACUACACAACUGGCCCGAUCGUGUGGGGAGAACCAGGAACCAAUGGGCAGCAUGCAUUCUACCAGCUCAUUCAUCAAGGUACACGAUUGAUUCCAUGUGAUUUCAUCAUGCCAGUUGAGACACACAACCCUGUACAGAAAGGAUUACAUCACGAGAUCCUUCAAGCCAACUUCCUGGCUCAGACUGAAGCACUUAUGACUGGCAAGUCACGUGAGAUAGCCGAGGAAGAGUUGAAGACUUCCGGAAUGAGCAAAGAAAAUAUUGCACACAUCUUACCACACAAGGUAUUUGAAGGAAAUCGACCCACCAACUCGUUUUUGGUUCAGAAGAUUACUCCAUUUACAUUAGGACUGUUAAUUGCAAUGUAUGAACACAAGAUAUUUAUUCAAGGUCAGAUCUGGGAUAUCAACUCCUAUGACCAGUGGGGUGUGGAGCUUGGAAAGCAGCUGGCCAAAGUUAUUCAGCCUGAACUGAAAGAUAGCAAAACAGUCAGUAGCCACGACUGUUCGACAAAUGGACUGAUCAAUUUUCUCAAAGAAAACAGGAAGUGAAAUUUGUUUUUACGUGUUGCUGUUUUGUUGAUUAACAUUUGUAUUUUUACUUAAACCAACGUGAUUGGCUUGUACCCAUAUAUCUGUAACCCAAGCAGGGCCUUUCAGUUUAGAAGUGCCCUUUUUGUCGAGCUGGUGAAGACUGUAUAUUUCAGGACCUCCCACCCUCUGGCAGAUAAUAUUCAUGAUUUUUAAACAAGGUGUAUUGCUGUAUAUUACGAAUAGAGAUAUAUGAAGCCAACAAGAGAUCUGUUCUAGUUUGGAGAAGAGAGACGUUUUCAUACAACAGAUCGAAACAAAACAAAUCAUAUUUACUGUGAUAUUCAGAGCUGUAUUCAUGCUCAUUAAAAUCAAAAUGAUCUCUAUGUAUGACAUGUUUAAGUAGAGUAAAGAAAGAAGUAGAAAGGAAAUUCAUGUAGUCUUAAAACCAAGUGGAUUUUUUUUAUCUGCAAGGUAAAAUACAUGUGGUCGAAUGAUAAAUCAUUAUCUUCAGAAGCUGCAAGUGCUUGAUUAAUGUGGUGUUAAAUGAAAUAUUAAGCACUGGAGCAGGAUGGAGUUCAUUCAUUUUAUUUCAUUUAUACUUAUUUUCGUGCUUAUAUCCAAUUAAGGUUCAAGCACACUGUCCUGGGCAUACACCUCAGCUAUCUGGGCUGUCUGUCUAGGACAGUGGGUUACUUGUUAGUGGGUAGUGAGAGAAGACUUGUAUCAGUGAUGUCAUUAAGAUAGAAGUGACCACUGGUUAUUACCAUUUGCUAUCAAUGUUAAAUUUCAUCUGGUUCAAAAUACCACAGGCAAACAAUUAUUAAUUUCAGUGGUUUAUCUUAUAUAUUAAUUACUGGUAGCAUUAUACAUUUGAAUAAGAUUUUCAAAAACAUGGCAGAGUUUUAACACAGCCAAAGCAAAUUGUAAAAAUAUAAUCAUUCGGGUAGGAAUUGUGUAAUUCUGUAACUGGUGAACAUUUAUUAACUAGGUAGGGAAAAUUACUGGCUAUUCAUGACAUCUCUGUUUAUUCCUGUAUAAAUUGGUUAUUUUGACUUUAUUACAAACCACUCUUUCAUACCAAAAAGUGGCCAUACCAUAUUUGAAGUGCUUACGUUCAUGUACUCGCACACAUACACAUGACCACACAACCACACACACAUACACACAAAACAACAUUCAUACACAAACAUUGUUUUGAGAAGAGGGUAAAGGGAAUUGAAUUUAAUAUGGUGUUAGUUUGCCUAUGCAAGUGGACAUUGUUAAGACUUAUUUAUUUAUUUUUGUUUUUGAUCUAAAUAGUGCAGCUGUGUGAGAUAUUGUGGAACUACAUGUAUUCAGUAGAUGGUGCUUUGUUAUAAACCAGAGCUUUGCUCAUUAUUUUUAUUAUGUCGCUUCCCAUGUCUUGAAAUCAUGAUUUCUCAAAUGUUGUUCUUAACAUAAAAGAUGUCUAGUGUUUGAGGCAAAAAGAUCACUUACCGUAUCAUUAUUCAACAUCUAGAAACCGGGUAAUUUUCAUACUGCGAUCAUCAAACAUUCACAUGUUCAUUUGGACAAAAUGAUUCAAAAUGAAAUAUACUUGUAUUUAUUACUUCUUUGAAGAACAUUUGUAAAACUGUCUUUUUCAAUCAAAAAAUAUUAGGAAAAUUUACUCCUUUGAAUUAACAGAGCUAACUAACUGUAUAAUAAAAUUAUGAACUUUUAGGGCCAAAUUUACAGUCUUGUUUAUGUCUUACACACGUGUAACUACAGGCUUCAUAAAUUCGGAUAUUUAUGUUUAAAGCGUAAAACAGAGUGCUCAGAUGUAACCAUAUUUCUACUGUUGUUAUAGUUUUGAAUUUAUGGUAUAAUUUUACUUAGCAUAGCUUGACGUUUGUGUGAUCUGUUAUAUAUGACCUAUGCAGUCACAACCACAUCCAAGUUUUAUCAGUAGUUAUGCAUGAAUGAUUAUCAUCAUUAUAUAAUUUCAUUUUGUUCUUGUAUCGAACUCGAGUUAAAGCAUUCUAUUCUUGGAACCCAAAUCAACUGACAGGUUAAUGGGAUUAAUGGUUGAGAGAAAACCUGGUAAUACUGUAGGAGCUAUUAUUAUUGAUCAGCAACAUAGGAUUUUUAAACCUAAAAGGCCUUGGUCCUUGAAAAGUAUUGUGGUGGUGUUCUUGCUUAAAAUGUUUUGUUUAUUUACAUCCAUUUGAAUCUCGGUUGUCAUGUCUACAGAAACCUCUUAACACAAGCAUUUUUGGUGCGUGCCACAAUUUUGAUGAAUUGCAUUCUGUCAAAUUGUGAUUAUGUUUUAUAAUUUAGAAUUUUGACUGAUCACAAACAUGAUGUUAUAAGCACAUACUUCUCUCCAGGUUAAAAUUUUGUGUUGGAGAAUACCAUACUAAGUAUUAUAUAAUUAUACACUCCAAAAUAUAUUUCACAUCACUACACGUGAAGAAAUUAUCAUUUCAAGCUACAAUCA